Molecule: long non-coding RNA, 3678 nt
Organism: Panonychus citri (citrus red mite)
Lineage: Eukaryota; Metazoa; Arthropoda; Arachnida; Trombidiformes; Tetranychidae
Exons: 3
Source: RefSeq, a predicted model, not a curated record
UUUUUCUUUGUCUUCUCUCUCUCUUUCAGUCUUUUUUUCUUUCUAUUUUUUUCUCCCUCUUUUUUGUCUUCUUUUUCAUCUUUAGAUCACUAAAUUUUUGGUUCCUUUUUAAGACUCAAGCAACAGGACCUCAACAAUUAACAUACGCACACAUGAAUCGCUGGUGAUUUACAUAAAUACGGAUCAUCGGAUCUUCCAUCUUUUUCUCCCUUUGGUCAUCUUCUGGUCAUUUCUCUUCUUCUUCUUCUUCCAUUUUGUAUAUUCAAAUCUUCAUCAUUUUCAUCAUCAUCAUCAAUGGAAAAAGAGUGACCCUCAGGGACAAAUAUUCUCUUUGGCCUUAUUUUCUCUUUCACUCUUUUUCUUUCUUCUUUGCUCCUUCCCCUUAUCCACCCUCACAAUCAUCAUCUUUUUCUCUUUCACUGAUUAUUUUUCUCUCUCCCGUUCUCUCUCUCUCUCUCUCUCUCUCUCUCUCUCUCUCUCUCUCUCUUUCCCAUUUGAUAUCCAUAUGACCCUUAAAUCUAUUAUUAUUUUCCAUCUUCUUUCUCCUCCAUGUGUCAGAGUAAUUCCAGUGUCCAAAAUGCAACUUUAGACAAGGACAGUGAUACUUUUUACACCGACCAUUGGAUACGAAAAUCAUUAAUUGCUCAUUACAUUCAAUUGGAUUCAUAUAGAGGCUCAAGUGAAAAUUCAACUGUUGUCGCCGUUAUUUUCUCGAUCAAGCUACACACACACACACUCUCUCUCUCUCUCUCUCACUAUCCCUCAUCCCUCUUUAUCCACCAUACAACUAACAAAACAACCUUAUGUUAACCUAAAUUUCAAUCGGAAACUUUUACUUCUCAUUAAUUAUCUCUCUCAAAUCAUGAAUUAUCAUUGAUUUUGGUAUCAACUUUGUUCUUGUUGUUGUUUCUGGAUAAGUGAAUAUUAUUGAUGAACAGAUAUUGACUUUUCCCAUUCGCGUAUUAAGAUACAAAAGUUGAUAGCCAAAUGAUGAUAAUCAUGAUAGCGAAAUUGAGUCAGAAAUUCUGUCGUUAAUUACUUUAUAAAUUUUUCUCUCUCUUUAAAUUAUGAUAAUCCUCGAAUUCCUCUUCCAUCUUUCUUUCUGUAUAUUAUUCAGCUUAAUUCUCAGCAUCUUAUAUAUCUCUUGAUUCCUUUAUCUUAUCUUAUCUUUUCCGUUUUUCUGUUCUCUUGCAUUUUAUUUUUUCUUACUACUACUACUAUUUCCGUUUACAUUUUUCUUGGCCAUUUUUACUUCCGUUUUAUGGGUCAACAUAUAAACAUCAUCAUCAAGUUUAUUUGUGGAAACCAAAAACUGACCCAUUGGUGAGGAGAGAGAAACGAAAAGUUGAAAAGACAAAACAAGUUAAUUGACAUCGAUGGACAAAGAUGAAAAUGCCUAAGGAUACAUAUGAGAAAAAAAAGGUCAAAGUAGGUGGUCACUCGUUAAGGUCACUCUCUCUCUUCGUCUCCAUAAUAUUGCUCAUCAUUUUGGUCUUCAAGAUUCAUUGGAAAACGAUUGGUCAUCUGGUAAAUAAACAAUCAAACCAAAAAGUGAUCUGACAAUUAUUUUGCUGGCGAAACAACAACAGAAAAGGGUUAAUUGUUGGGAGAUUUUGAUAAUCACAACUGGAUUAACCAGGAAUCAAGAAGUAAAUUAAAUGACCUGAAACAAGGCUCAUUUAUAUCAUUAAUCAUUCCAGUGUUUCAAUUGACUAAUUUAACGGGAAUUUUAAUCAUUUCAACAUAAAAGCGUAGGUGAUGAAGAUGCGGAUGAUAAUGAUGAUGACAUAGAAUGACGAUCAUAAUGAUUAAUCCAAUUAAUCUUAAGAGGAGGAAAAGAUAUUUAUAAAUAUGAAUGAAAUAGUAAAAUGGAUCAACGGAAAAACAAAAGUCAGUUCGAAACAAUAGUUCUUGGAAUUGUUUCAAUUGAGCUGAUAUUUCUUCACGAAACAUGGGAUUAAGGGAACAAGUGAAGGACUAUUAGUAGAAUGAGCCAGAUGAAUGAUGAUGAUGAUGAUGAGAUUGUAGAACGAUAGAGGAUGAGAAGAGGAAGAAGAUGAAAUAAAGAUGACGAAGAUAAACAUACGAAAAGAGAGAGAGAGAGAGAGAGAAUCAGUAGGAAGAAAAUUAUCCUCUAGAAGAAGAGGAGAAAAGAAAAAUUCUAUGAAUGAAAGAGAGAGAAAAGGUCGUAAAGAAAAUAGUAAAAAGAGAGAGAGAGGAAAAAGAUGAUGGGCAAAGAUGAAAAGAAAGUAAGUCGGAAAGAAAGAGUAAAAUAGCAAAUGCUAAAUCCGUAAUUAAAAGGCUUAACGAUGUUAAUUAAUGUUAUUCUUAUGGUUCAGCCUCUAAAACAAUCCAUUGAUUUCUUAAAUUUAUCCUUUUAUGGGUCAAGUUUCCUUUCCCUGAUUGUUGCCGAUCAUCAUCAUGUUGACCUCAGAAUGUUGGUAAUGAUUAUUGACCUCAGACUGUGAAUCUAAAAUCAGUUGUUUCUUCAUUAUAUUAUCUAUCAUCCUCUUCCUUUUUUCCUCUUCUUCAUCAUCAUCAUCAUCAAUAGUAACUUCUUCAAGAAUCUUUCAUCAUCAUCUUCAUCCUCCUUUGUCUGGAUAACCUGUAAAUCAAUGCGAUCCUUGGGAAACAAAUUUACUUUGCUUGGUUAACAAUUAUAUUUAUUAUCAUCAUCUUUCUCUCUUCUCCCUUAUUCUUGCCUCCAACAGUGAUUCCAAAGGAGCAAAGUAUCAGCUAUAUCAUCAUCAUCAUCUCCGUGUUGGUUUUUAUGCUCUUAUAUUACCUACAACAAACAAGAAAGAAAAUCAGGAAAAUUGGUGAACCGCAGAAAGUCAUGCUACAUAAAAAAAUGGAAUAGAAAAAACAAAAAUCUAAGAAUUAAUUGUUGUAGUUAAUUGUGAUUGUUACCAUUAUUAUAUCUGAGAAGAUCAACCAUCAUAAGAAUCAAGGAUAAUCAAUGAGCGAGAGAUACUCUCAAGGUGAAAGGUAACUAUCAAAGUACAAAAUAGAAAACCAGUAAUUUUGUCACUUAACAUGUAACAAUUAAGGAUAGUAAUUAGUGAGAGUCAAUUUAUUCAUCAUCUUCUCUAUCAUCAACAUGAUAAUCUAAAGAGUCUAAAAUCAACAUUCAUCACCUUUACAAGGUAAGCAAAAAGAUGAUUAAAACCAGUGCCCAAUCAACAAGAUAAUUAAAUUGUUCAAUUAAAUUAUUACCGAUACUUAAAUAAUUGAUAAAAUUGAUUGGAAUCAAUGUCAAUACAAUUAAAGGUAAUUAGCAUGAGUAGUUUGGUUUGUAAAAGUUAGCUAACUUUUUCUAAUGAUAAACAAUUUAAUUCAUAAUGUAAUUCAAUGAAGAUCAGGGUUACCAGGUUUUCCUUUAAUUGCUCAGAGUGAUGAGAUAAUGUUGAUGAAUCAUUAGAAAGUUAAUAUUAAGUUGAGAAUAAUCAACAAUCAAGAUAAUGAGAACAAUUAGAAAUUGUAAACAAUUUGCAAUUCGUUGACAGGAUGGAGAUUAUUAUUCUUAAUCUCAAUCUAAUUCUUAAAUUCGGAGGUAAUCUUAUCUUCUUCAUCUUAAUCUCUUUGUCUUUGUGACUUUGAAAAGAGAGAAAUGAGUUGAUUAUCAAUAAGAGAAAAGAAAAAGGAUUAAUCGUUUCGAAUUAAUGAUUUGUUUUGUUC